GCGGAUGUGGCGAAACUGGCAGACGCGCAAGUUUCAGGUACUUGUGGGCUAACCCCCUUGGAGGUUCGAUUCCUCUCAUCCGCA
Molecule: transfer RNA, 84 nt
Filed under: Planctomycetota bacterium
Lineage: Bacteria; Pseudomonadati; Planctomycetota
Description: Planctomycetes bacterium tRNA-Leu
Rfam family: tRNA
About the family: Transfer RNA (tRNA) molecules are approximately 80 nucleotides in length. Their secondary structure includes four short double-helical elements and three loops (D, anti-codon, and T loops). Further hydrogen bonds mediate the characteristic L-shaped molecular structure. tRNAs have two regions of fundamental functional importance: the anti-codon, which is responsible for specific mRNA codon recognition, and the 3' end, to which the tRNAs corresponding amino acid is attached (by aminoacyl-tRNA synthetases). tRNAs cope with the degeneracy of the genetic code in two manners: having more than one tRNA (with a specific anti-codon) for a particular amino acid; and 'wobble' base-pairing, i.e. permitting non-standard base-pairing at the 3rd anti-codon position.
Source: RNAcentral